CAAAUAACCAAGAACAGGGAGCUGAAUGUGAGAGGCAGGCUCCAAAGGAUUCAGCCACCAAGGUGGAGAAAAAAAUAUACAUUUUCUAGAGCCCAAUCUGCCAGGAGAGAUCUAAGAGAUUACAAUGGAAAAACUUAAAAUUCUGAGGACAGAGAAAAGAAAGAGGAAGAGUUAAUGACUAGUGAGACACCAUCAUGUAGACUGGUGCCACACGGAAUCUGGGGCAACAGAACAUGAUCUGUCCAGAUGGUCAUACAGUGAAAGCUGGUGCAGGGAAGCACCUUAAGCUGUAUAAUUGCAAUAAGUUUUGCUCACCAGUG
Rhinopithecus roxellana (golden snub-nosed monkey) is the source of this 320-nucleotide long non-coding RNA. RefSeq lists it as uncharacterized. The transcript is spliced from 2 exons. The record is from RefSeq and is a predicted model, not a curated record. NCBI's taxonomy places the organism in Eukaryota, Metazoa, Chordata, Mammalia, Primates, Cercopithecidae.